AUAGAUCAGUGAUGUAUCGCUACUGUGGAUGUUUUUUGCUUUGUAAUUUCAGUCUUUGAAAGCCAAGUAGCAAGUCUGCAGCCUGAGAUAAUUUAAGAACUGCCAUAACAGACAGAGAUGCUCACAAACAUGUUACUUGUGUCUGGUGGGUCCUAGAUGGGUCUCUGUUUCACUUGUGUGGCUUUAAUGCAUUAUUGUUAAAGAAGUAUACUUCUGUUUCGCGAGAUGGAAUCUUUCCCUUGUCGUGCUUGUGGAUGUAGAAAACAUCUCGAGUAUGGCGAAUGUCACUCCUUUCCGUAUUCUUUGUUGGCAGAACUUUGGAUGGGCUCCACAAGAAGCUAAAACGCAUAUGGUCACCGAUCACUUCAGUUAGUCAGAGGUGCUCGGGCCAAACCCUUGAAAUCUGUUUCAACUUUAUGCACUCGAACAAAGCAACUAUUACCAGAAGGUCCUCGAAGAAAAGGAUAGCACAUUCGAGGAUAUUGUAGGUGCAUAUUUAGCAUUUUUGCAGGUAAGAUUUGUGAUGACAUCCGUUCAAGUGCUCAUCUUGUUUUCUCAUGUUAUCUUGGUUACUGUGGUGAAUCGUGCCAUGGAUAAAGCACUGGAACUCCUGCAAAAGUUUGCCAAUGAUGCAAGAAAUGGAAAGAUUCCAAAAAACAGAAUAUGUUUUGGUUAUAGGGAUCCUUCAUAAAGAGACGACCCUACUUGUGCCAGCAAUGGGCAAAGCUUCAACUGCUGGAUUUUGUUCAGUCUCUAGUAAAUACCGAAUUUGAGGUAACACAUUCUCCGUUCAUUUUAUAGUACUUGUGAGAUUUUGUUCAGUCUCUAUUAAAUACCGAAUUUGGGGCAACACAU
Long non-coding RNA from Populus euphratica (Euphrates poplar), 855 nucleotides. RefSeq lists it as uncharacterized. The transcript has 3 exons. Lineage: Eukaryota; Viridiplantae; Streptophyta; Magnoliopsida; Malpighiales; Salicaceae. The record is from RefSeq and is a predicted model, not a curated record.